CUCAAAACACUAACCCAACACCACAGCAGCCCACCGAAAUUCCAUGCCCAAUAUAGAUAACCCGACCCACACCCUUAUUCUUUUUUCCACUUUACAGCAAAACACCACCACCAAUUUCAACGCUAAUGGCGUACACAACAACGUUAACAACAACAACAUCAAACAUCAAACAAUAACUUCAACCAAGAAAACCAUAAAACCGACAUCAACAACAAGGACAUCAACGAUAUUCCACCAUACCUACGACAACAGACAACAACGGAUAACACCAGCUGCAACGGUGGCUUCAGCCGACCCAACAGCAACGAAAAACCCGACACCAAUAACAUCAACCCGAUCUGGUGCGAACACCAAAAUUCAACCAAGCCAACCUCUCUCUAUUUUAUCUCUGCAUUUUUUAGACCUAGAGCCAUCCUUUUUUAAUUUGUUUGCUCAAGAUUGUGUGUAUUCAAUAUCAAAAUUCAAUCCAAAUCAGGAGAUGUCAAUUCAAAUUCAAAAUUUUGGGGAUAUGUUUCUCUAUUUUAAAGAUAAAAAAAUUAAUAUCUUCCCCCGUAAAUAAGGAUUGAGGGGAAGAAGGCAAAAAAGGGGAAUUUUGGAAAAAAAUUUGGAGAUUCUGGGGCGCACACUCCUAAUCUUACGCAAUCAAAAUUCUCAAAGAGCCCUCGAAAGAUUGAAAUUCGACGUUCUCGUUCAAACUCUAUUGGUUAGAAUCAAUUCGAGGUGGUGGAAGCUUCAUCGUCAUAAAUUUGUUCGUCCCAGUUUCUGCUCCCGAAAAGUCUCUCGAACACUCUUUCCUUGAUUCUGUUGGAUUAAAUCCAAAUUGCAUCGAGUAAAGAUCCGUACCAAAUUCAAAGUGGACUAAUAAUGAAGUAAAAUUAGACAGAUACAAAGCUGUAUACACAGAUAUACAGCGGUAUACUAAGGAUAUACGAUUGAAAGUGAGAGAGGAAUGCUAGUAUACUGGUGGAAAUGCAUACGUAAAUGACCAACAUAUGGUCAUGUAUAUUUCAGAUAAACAAAAACGCAGCAGCAGUAAAACUGAUAUAUUGUCAGUAUACAACUGGAUAUACACUGCAGAAAUGGACCAAAAGUUCAUAAAGAAUAGGCUCAAAAGUUGGCUAGAUUUGAAAAGGGCCCAAUCUUAACUCUUUUCUCUUUAAUUUUCAUUUUAAACUUAUUUAUUUGUGCACUUAAUUAAUUAGUCUAGACAAAUCCCCUUAGAUUUUGCUAUUUUUAGUUAUCGUCAUUUUCUUCUCGUUACUUA
Long non-coding RNA from Capsicum annuum, 1264 nucleotides. RefSeq lists it as uncharacterized. Lineage: Eukaryota; Viridiplantae; Streptophyta; Magnoliopsida; Solanales; Solanaceae. The transcript is spliced from 2 exons. The record is from RefSeq and is a predicted model, not a curated record.